RNAcentral lists this ribosomal RNA (480 nucleotides) under uncultured bacterium. RNAcentral's name for it is "partial 16S ribosomal RNA". It matches the Rfam family "Bacterial small subunit ribosomal RNA", at positions 28 to 507 of the family's 1533-position model. The record is from RNAcentral.
GACGAACGCUGGCGGCGUGCUUAACACAUGCAAGUCGAACGAUGAAGAAAAGAAUCGAAGCUUCGGCAGAAAUUCAUUUCGGAUUAGUGGCAGACGGGUGAGUAACGCGUGAGCAACCUACCUCUUACAAAGGGAUAGCCUCGGGAAACCGGGAUUAAUACCAUAUAACAUUGCGACGAAGCAUUUCGAUGCAAUCAAAGCUACGGCGGUAAGAGAUGGGCUCGCGUCCCAUUAACCGGAUGGUGAGGUAACGGCUCACCAUAGUGACGAUGGGUAACCGGCCUGAGAGGGUGAACGGUCACACUGGAACUGAGGCACGGUCCAGACUCCUACGGGAGGCAGCAGUGGGGAAUAUUGCACAAUGGAGGGAACUCUGAUGCAGCGACGCCGCGUGAGUGAUGAAGGAAUUCGUUUCGUAAAACUCUGUUCUAUGGGAAGAAAAGGACUGUACCAUAGGAGAAAGCUCCGGCUAAAUACGUG